GGGGAUUAUUAAGGGUUACUGCUAAUAAUCCAAAGAAUUUUGAAGAGUUCAAUCCCUU
RNAcentral lists this transfer RNA (58 nucleotides) under Dactylogyrus lamellatus. RNAcentral describes it as "tRNA-Ser". Lineage: Eukaryota; Metazoa; Platyhelminthes; Monogenea; Dactylogyridea; Dactylogyridae. The record is from RNAcentral.